Homo sapiens (human) is the source of this 2511-nucleotide RNA transcript. It is a transcript of the gene named cytochrome P450 family 2 subfamily G member 1, pseudogene, with no coding region annotated. Lineage: Eukaryota; Metazoa; Chordata; Mammalia; Primates; Hominidae. The record is from RefSeq and is marked validated. The transcript has 5 exons.
UUCCCAGUGAAGAAAAGACAGAGCUGCCACUUGUACCCAGAUUGUCUGGAUCCUAAAAUCAAUAGCCUAAAAAGAUAAUAAUUUGCCUCUUACACCCCACCAAGAAAUUCUGUUCAAUUCUGUUGAGCUGAGAGGGAAGAACAGGGAGACUGGAAAUAUGAAGAAAGGGGAAUGGCCCCAGAGGAUUUCCCUGUGUGAAUUCAAUUUACCUUUAUUCAGGUGGGAGAUUAUAGGUUAUAUAACCACCCCCAAUAUAAAGCAAUCUCUUCCCCGAUGACACUCAAACCCGGAAAACUUGAAUCCCAGGGUGUUCAGAUUUUGGUAUAAGCUGAUCUCCCAGGACCUACUUAGGCAGGAUCUGGUGCCCAGGACAGAACCUGUUGACCUGGCACCAUGGAGCUGGGAGGGGCUGUCACCAUCUUUCUGGCACUCCGCUUGUCUUGCCUGCUCAUCCUCAUUGCCUGGAAACGAAUGGAUAAGGCAGGAAAGCUGCCCCCAGGUCCUACACCAAUUCUUUUCCUGGGGCACCUGCUGCAAGUUCGAACUGAUGCUACGUUUCAGUCUUUCAUGAAGGUGAGUCUGUCUGUCUCCUUUAAUAGGGCUAAAAGCAACUAAUCCUAUAGCCAGAUUCACAUAGAAACUUAUGACUUCUAAAAGAUAGACUCUCAGAAACACAGACUUUGCAAAUCUUAGAAUUCUGAAAUUCCAGAAUCCUAAAAUGUUGGAAACACACAUUCUCAGUGCAUUGAAAUAAGAUUUUCAUGAUCUCAGGACUUUGGAAUCACAGUACAUUAUAUUUUUAAACACAGGAUUCUUUGACUCAGCUUGUCUUAGCACUUUGAGACUUGGUAUCAUGAAGUCUUAAGAUUCUAGAAAUUUAACAUUUCAGAGAGAGAAGUAUGAAUCUUGGAAUUUAUCGAAUCCAGGUCCCUUAUUUUGGAGAUGCAGACAGUAACUCUUGUGGGAAGGGAUGAGCUUUUGCCGAGAAUGACAGAAGCCAAGACUUCCGUGCCUCUUUCCCAGUAUUCCUUCCAAGCCCAGAUUUACCUUGGUUCCUUAGUACCAUGUUUAUAUCCCUCUAAAAUCGCCAUCCUCUAAAAUCCUCAACUGGCCUAUGCUUGGUACUCCAGUCAGCCCCUCCUCUUGUGUUUUCCUUCACUCCAAGCUCAGGGAGAAAUACAGCCCUGUGUUCACUGUGUACAUGGGUCCCGGCCAGUGGUGGUUUUAUGUGGACACGAAGCAGUGAAGGAAGCCUUGAUAGACCAAGCGGAUGAGUUCAGUGGCCGUGGAGAACUGGCUUCAAUAAAGCAAAACUUCCAAGGUCAUGGAUCCUGCAGAGAGGGAACCUUACUCUCUUGAUUGAGUCUUGAAGGUUGAGGAUGGCUUCCUGGACAGCAGAGUCUAGAGCUUUCAUAAUCUUUCCCCAUCACUGCCUAAGCACAGAGUUGAACACAGCAAGGGGAGGGAGGCAGAAGCCUGAGACUGAGAUCUUGGCAGGUGUAGCUCUGGCCAAUGGAGAACGAUGGAGGAUUCUCCGACGCUUCUCCCUGACCAUCCUUCGGGACUUCGGGAUGGGAAAGCAGAGCAUUAAGGAGCGAAUUCAGGAGGAGGCCAGCUACCUACUGGAGGAGUUCCAGAAGACCAAGCUAAGAUUCACGAAGAGAUUAACCAGGUGAUUGGACCACACCGGCUCCCAAGGGUGGAUGACCGGGUCAAGAUGCCCUACACAGAUGUCGUUAUCCAUGAAAUACAGAGACUGGUAGACAUCGUGCCCAUGGGUGUCCCCCACAACAUCAUCCAGGACACUCAGUUUCGAGGUUACCUUCUGCCCAAGGGCACAGACGUAUUUCCCCUGCUUGGCUCUGUCCUCAAAGACCCCAAAUACUUCCGCUACCCAGAUGCCUUCUAUCCCCAGCACUUUCUGGAUGAGCAGGGCCGCUUCAAGAAGAAUGAAGCCUUUGUGCCUUUUUCCUCUGGAAAGCGCAUCUGCUUGGGCGAGGCCAUGGCCCGCAUGGAACUCUUUCUCUACUUCACCUCCACCCUUCAGAACUUCUCUCUAUGCUCGCUGGUGCCACUUGUGGACAUCGAUAUCACCCCCAAGCUCUCAGGCUUUGGCAACAUCACCCCGACCUAUGAGCUCUGCCUUGUGGCCCGCUGAGCCACACCUCCUGCGGGGCAAGGAGGAAGUGGUGAAGAAUGCAGCUCUCCUCUCGUGUUCAGGAGCACCCCCUCUUCCUCAUCUUACUAAUCCUCAAGCAUCCCUAAGAGGAGGCACUAUGAUUACAGAGUCAGCCAGGGUCACCUGAGAAUGUACAGCUGCGUGUCUUCCUCUCCCGUAGAAGAGCAACGCCCUGUGCAAGAUUUGCACCUCUGCCUGCAGGUUUCAUGGUCACAUGGUCACCGUUGCUUAGGUUUCUGGCUGCAUCAAAUUAUUACUGCAGUCCCUGUGUCUUCAUGUUGUCCCUUUUUGUGUGUGCUCUGAUUUUGACCAAAAUGUAGUCUAAAAUCCUU